CAUACUUUCUCCUUCCUAUACCCAAAUCUCAACUUCAAAAUUGCCUUUGCUUUCGAGAAAAAUAUCCAUCUAUGAUGUCCACUAAGGUUCAAAGAAGCUAGGAGAAGGUGGUCAUGGUUAAUUAAUGAAGCAUCAAGAGGAUUGCUACCAGCUUCCAGCCCUGCUUAUGAUGCCUCUAAGGUACUUUAUUUAAUUUUCACAGCAGAAACUCAUUCAUUUAACCAGAGCUAAUGAUUCUUUCCAGCAGCCUCAGGUCAGCCAGCUAUUCAUAUUGUAAUUGCAUCACUGUCUCUCUGUAUUUCAGUCUCUCACAAACACAUUUUUCCCUUUUCAUUAGUUUUUCUCUGCCCUAAUUGCCAUCAGUCAGCUUAGUACAUUAUGAUAUUUCAAUUUCAGUUUCCUAUAUCCACCAAGCUAAUGCAUAAUAUGCUUAUUUCUUUGCAGGUUGUCACUUGAUUUUUCUUGUUCAGACACUUCUUAGGAUGUCUCAAGAAUUUUGAAAACUCUCUGAGCCUGAAAAACAAUUCCUUUAUUGGGAUAACCACUCAAGUUGAAAUUGCCUCCCUUCCUUGCCCUUGUCUUCCUUCUUCCGUUUGUAUAGCUGGACUAUAAAUACAACCUCCUUGAGUUAUAUAAACACAGAUAUUUCUAUAUGGCCUUUGUCCUAACUGAGACCCUCAAAAUAGUGCAUAAAAAUUUCUUGCUCAUAUUCUUGUCCUCUAUUCUUGAAAAGGUUUAAUAAGCUGCCUCUUCUUGCAUGUGCCUUUUAAAAGAAGGCUUGGAGAUCAGUCCAAACAAUAUAAAGGAAAGGAAAACUCCAGGGGAAAAUGUAGAGAAAUUGCAACCUUUGUCACAUACCUCCCCCCAUUCUCUAUCCCCAAGGUGAAUUACAGUGUCAGGAAAAACUUUCUUUAUUCCUACAAAAUAUUUCAUGCCUUUGUGGAAAACCCUACUGAGGUCAUUCACAGAUACUAAUUUCAAUGUCAUUUGUAUCAACAAACAAGCCUGAAGUAAAUAU
Molecule: long non-coding RNA, 1018 nt
Filed under: Cricetulus griseus (Chinese hamster)
Lineage: Eukaryota; Metazoa; Chordata; Mammalia; Rodentia; Cricetidae
Description: lncRNA (ENSCGRG00015040447.1)
Source: RNAcentral